UCCAGGCCCUACGGGGUGCAGCAGGCGCGAAACCUCCGCAAUGUGAGAAAUCGCGACGGGGGGAUCCCAAGUGCCAUUCUUAACGGGAUGGCUUUUCAUUAGUGUAAAGAGCUUUUGGAAUAAGAGCUGGGCAAGACCGGUGCCAGCCGCCGCGGUAACACCGGCAGCUCUAGUGGUAGCAGUUUUUAUUGGGCCUAAAGCGUCCGUAGCCGGUUUAAUAAGUCUCUGGUGAAAUCCUGCAGCUUAACUGUGGGAAUUGCUGGAGAUACUAUUAGACUUGAGAUCGGGAGAGGUUAGAGGUACUCCCAGGGUAGAGGUGAAAUUCUGUAAUCCUGGGAGGACCGCCUGUUGCGAAGGCGUCUGACUGGAACGAUUCUGACGGUGAGGGACGAAAGCUAGGGGCGCGAACCGGAUUAGAUACCCGGGUAGUCCUAGCUGUAAACGAUGCGGACUUGGUGUUGGGGUGGCUUUGAGCUGUCCCAGUGCCGAAGGGAAGCUGUUAAGUCCGCCGCCUGGGAAGUACGGUCGCAAGACUGAAACUUAGAGGAAUUGGCGGGGGAGCACCACAACGCGUGGAGCCUGCGGUUUAAUUGGAGUCAACGCCGG
This 606-nucleotide ribosomal RNA is filed under the name uncultured archaeon. RNAcentral describes it as "bacterial SSU rRNA". It matches the Rfam family "Archaeal small subunit ribosomal RNA", at positions 315 to 921 of the family's 1478-position model. The record is from RNAcentral.